AGUUGUUGCAGUUAAAAAGCUCGUAGUUGAAUUUCGGGGUUAGUAGGUUGGUCAUGCCUCUGGUAUGUACUGGUCUCACUGAUUCCUCCUUCCUUAUGAACCGUAAUGCCAUUAAUUUGGUGUUGCGGGGAAUUUGGACUGUUACUUUGAAAAAAUUAGAGUGUUUAAAGCAAGCUAACGCUUGAAUACAUUAGCAUGGAAUAAUGAAAUAGGACGUUCGAUCUUAUUUUGUUGGUUUCUAGGAUUGACGUAAUGAUUAAUAGGGAUAGUUGGGGGCAUUAGUAUUCAAUUGUCAGAGGUGAAAUUCUUGGAUUUAUUGAAGACUAACUACUGCGAAAGCAUUUGCCAAGGAUGUUUUCAUUAAUCAAGAACGAAAGUUAGGGGAUCGAAGACGAUCAGAUACCGUCGUAGUCUUAACCAUAAACUAUGCCGACUAGGGAUCGGAUGAUGUGUAGAUUUUUUAAUGACUCAUUCGGCGCCUACCCGGGGAAACA
Molecule: ribosomal RNA, 494 nt
Filed under: Rhizophagus intraradices
Lineage: Eukaryota; Fungi; Glomeromycota; Glomeromycetes; Glomerales; Glomeraceae
Description: SSU rRNA
Rfam family: Eukaryotic small subunit ribosomal RNA
Source: RNAcentral